CAGGAGUUGAUAACAGUUCAGUAAGAGAAAAUGCUUAGAGGUGACAACAUUGAAACCAGGCAGGAUGUCCAGUUAUAUCCAACCAGGGAAUUCCAUCUUCUGCUUUCACGAAAACACAUGAUGGUCAGAGUGAUCUUUUUGCACCUGCUGUGUUUUAAGUGCUUUUGACUGAAGUCCUCAAUAUUCCAGAGUGAGGCUAGCCUGUGGCAUGGUGGUCAAGAUGGCUGGAUCCUAAUUAACCAACCCUAUGUUCAACACUCAGACCCAGCAGCCUGAGAAACACGGCAGGCAUGUGCUUCUUCCAUGCCCCGAAUCCUGGAAGUGGGGAGAAAAGAAAAAGGAAGGGGUCCCACAGAUAUGUGCUAAACACCUUACUUCAUGAGAAGAACAGGAGGACAAGGAAGAUAAAGAGCAAUUGAAGGACUUAAUAGAAAGGAGUGGGCUCUGUAAACCAAAUUUUUAACAAAUAUCUGACAUUCUCAGCGUUCCUCCUUUCAGAAAAUGCCAGCCCUCUCAAUAGCAGGUCAGUGGUGUGACCUUUGUAGCCCAAUAAUGACGGUCCCAAUGACUUUUCUGAGCAAGAGGAAGCGACAUUAAGCUACUUGAUGCUGAGGCAGCCAGACAGUCUGCCAUUUUUUGUCUCUUACCAAUUGUUUCUCCUCCAGCCAUCUUUACUGGUGGA
Long non-coding RNA from Tupaia belangeri chinensis (Chinese tree shrew), 682 nucleotides. RefSeq lists it as uncharacterized. The transcript has 4 exons. NCBI's taxonomy places the organism in Eukaryota, Metazoa, Chordata, Mammalia, Scandentia, Tupaiidae. The record is from RefSeq and is a predicted model, not a curated record.